RNAcentral lists this small RNA (106 nucleotides) under Martelella mediterranea DSM 17316. RNAcentral's name for it is "Alphaproteobacterial ar15". It matches the Rfam family "Alphaproteobacterial ar15". The record is from Rfam by way of RNAcentral. Lineage: Bacteria; Pseudomonadati; Pseudomonadota; Alphaproteobacteria; Hyphomicrobiales; Aurantimonadaceae.
AGCUGAUGCGUUCGAUACGACUUCUGAGUCGUAUUGCAGCAGCUGUUCCCCUCUGGAGGUUUUUACCUUCACACUUACAAGGGCCCCGUUUUGGAGGCCCUUUUUU